Molecule: long non-coding RNA, 1288 nt
Organism: Oreochromis niloticus (Nile tilapia)
Lineage: Eukaryota; Metazoa; Chordata; Actinopteri; Cichliformes; Cichlidae
Exons: 3
Source: RefSeq, a predicted model, not a curated record
CGGAAACAGUAGGCACACGCAAACUCAUCGGUAUCGUGCCGCUCUCACCCGCUCUUUGAAUUAAAGCUAAUAUUUUAUCCCCUGCUUUCUCGAGUUUGCUACACGGAGGACUCCGUGCUGAAUUAAAAGCGGAGGCGCGGUCCAAGCGAAGUGUUUUGGAGCGACGGAGCUUUUACGCCGGUGGCCAAAGAAACACUCCCAUGUGCGAGCACGAGUGAGCGCCUCGGUUACCGGACACAGAGAGCCCCACCCCACUAAAUUGAUACAUGCUGACACAUGCUGUGAUGUCUGUGCUGUUAGUCAUGGGAUUUUGAGAAGCCUACAGGGAGUUUGUCAUCUAUAAACAAAGUGAACAUGGCAAACUGAGCGAACGCUGGCAUCUGCUGCCUGACAAGAAAGAUCGAUCUAACUGUCAAAGCUCGGCACCAAACUGACAGCUCAGGUGUUGAAAGCACUAUUUAGGCAACAUUCACAUUAAACACAUGCAUGACUCUCUGUGUGAGCCGGCAAACAGUUUAGGCAUCUCUUUUUAUCCCUCUCUUUCUUUGUUUCAGUUCAUUAGGAGCAAACCUGAGCCCCCCUCCCCCCCCUUGCUGGCCUGUCAUGUUGUGUUGUAGUCUAUUAAUAGUUUUCAUAUGCAACAUGCAGAUCUCAUCCAUCUGAUGCAAUCAAUGUGGCAGGAUCCCUGGUGGUCAGAGUCAUAAAUAAUUAAACUGCUAGUCUGACGCCUCAUUUGUCUUCUUAAGAGCUCGUCUCUUCUGCAGCAGGCCCGGUGCAUCCCUGUGAAAUGCAGCGAGUUGUUUUGUUUAUCUCGAUGAAGCUGAUGUAAAGCUGCGAAAAAGGCUCUGUUGUCAUAGUGAUUACUGCAGCCAGAUUGGUUAUGUGAAACAGGUACAGAGUCUCCCCACUUCAGUCUGUCUGGUAUGACAUGACAGCAGAGUGCUUGUGGCCAUUAUCCACAGGUUAAAUCAAGAUACAGAGCCUGCCUCUAAUGGAACAUGCUGAGAUACAAGCAUUUGCCUUUGACUGUGUGGUGCACGUGUUUCAGAAGACAUAUAGUUGUGAAAUGGAGUUCAAGUAAUUUAUGUCAAACAAAGACAUUUAAUGGCAACCUUGGUUACCAGAAGGUCUUGUCUUGUCAUUAGUCUCUGUUCAGAAAUGUGUUUUGCAGCCAGCUGGUGAUUUCUUGUUGUGCUGAAAAACGUUAUUCUCGAUUCAUGUUAUUUUAAUUCUUGCUGGAGAGUGUGCAGUUUUGAAUCUUGCACCAUUUAAAUUUUUCCUCCAUUUU